GGCAUCAUAGCUUAAUUGAAUAGAGCAUCUGACUACGGAUCAGAAAGUUACAGGUUUGAAUCCUGUCGGUGGCA
Molecule: transfer RNA, 74 nt
Filed under: Rikenella sp.
Lineage: Bacteria; Pseudomonadati; Bacteroidota; Bacteroidia; Bacteroidales; Rikenellaceae
Description: tRNA-Arg
Rfam family: tRNA
About the family: Transfer RNA (tRNA) molecules are approximately 80 nucleotides in length. Their secondary structure includes four short double-helical elements and three loops (D, anti-codon, and T loops). Further hydrogen bonds mediate the characteristic L-shaped molecular structure. tRNAs have two regions of fundamental functional importance: the anti-codon, which is responsible for specific mRNA codon recognition, and the 3' end, to which the tRNAs corresponding amino acid is attached (by aminoacyl-tRNA synthetases). tRNAs cope with the degeneracy of the genetic code in two manners: having more than one tRNA (with a specific anti-codon) for a particular amino acid; and 'wobble' base-pairing, i.e. permitting non-standard base-pairing at the 3rd anti-codon position.
Source: RNAcentral